AUUAUUUAUUAAUAAGUGGAUAAGGUUAUAGUUAGAGAAAGAUGGUCAAUUUGAGUUGAUGAUGAUGAUGAUGGAAGUGUUUGUUUGUAUUCUAUAAAGAGAGAAAAAGAAGGAAUUUUUUUAAUGCUUUGGAACAUGGGGAGAGGCGUUGCUGAACUGUUGAGCUUUCAGAGUGUUUAGGAAUCCAAAACCAUGAUUAAAGGUGGGUCUAUUUGUGACGAUUGGAAGAUUUGAACAUCAAUCAUUACCAUGGGAAAGAAGACUUGGGCACUACCAGUGAAGAAAGGUCUUUCCCGUUGGGCCUAGGUGCAAACGCCUCCCAUAAUUCAAUUAUGGUGAGUCGUUAUCUCUUAUAUUAGAUCAUAUGCUGAUAUUAAGAAGAUUAUGAUUAUUAUCCCUUGGCAAGCUUUGAACGGUAUCCAACCAUCUUCCAGCUGAAUGAUCACUGCUAUUACAUUAAAUUUUAGUUUCUGUUUUUUGCCAUCAUUUUAUUUAUGUUAGUUUGGGAGUUUGUAAUUGUAUUGUUUCUUAUGUUUAAAUUAAAUCGACUUAAGCAAUAAGCGGUAUGAUAAUUUUUUUCUAUCAGUUAGUUUUUUCUAAAACAAUCCAAUGUUACUCAAUAAAAUCUUCCUA
Lactuca sativa (garden lettuce) is the source of this 633-nucleotide long non-coding RNA. RefSeq lists it as uncharacterized. The record is from RefSeq and is a predicted model, not a curated record. Lineage: Eukaryota; Viridiplantae; Streptophyta; Magnoliopsida; Asterales; Asteraceae.